AUACAUGCAGUCGAGCGAAUUGAAGGGAGCUUGCUCCCUGAUAUUAGCGGCGGACGGGUGAGUAACACGUGGGCAACCUGCCCUGCAGAUGGGGAUAACUCCGGGAAACCGGGGCUAAUACCGAAUAAUCAGUUCUUCCGCAUGGAAGAACUCUGAAAGACGGUUUCGGCUGUCACUGCAGGAUGGGCCCGCGGCGCAUUAGCUAGUUGGUGGGAUAACGGCCUACCAAGGCGACGAUGCGUAGCCGACCUGAGAGGGUGAUCGGCCACACUGGGACUGAGACACGGCCCAGACUCCUACGGGAGGCAGCAGUAGGGAAUCUUCCACAAUGGACGAAAGUCUGAUGGAGCAACGCCGCGUGAGCGAAGAAGGUUUUCGGAUCGUAAAGCUCUGUUGCGAGGGAAGAACAAGUACGGGAGUAACUGCCCGUACCUUGACGGUACCUCGUCAGAAAGCCACGGCUAACUACGUGCCAGCAGCCGCGGUAAUACGUAGGUGGCAAGCGUUGUCCGGAAUUAUUGGGCGUAAAGCGCGCGCAGGCGGUCCUUUAAGUCUGAUGUGAAAGCCCACGGCUCAACCGUGGAGGGUCAUUGGAAACUGGAGGACUUGAGUACAGAAGAGGAAAGCGGAAUUCC
RNAcentral lists this ribosomal RNA (635 nucleotides) under Sporosarcina luteola. RNAcentral's name for it is "bacterial SSU rRNA". It matches the Rfam family "Bacterial small subunit ribosomal RNA", at positions 51 to 670 of the family's 1533-position model. Lineage: Bacteria; Bacillati; Bacillota; Bacilli; Caryophanales; Caryophanaceae. The record is from RNAcentral.